Molecule: long non-coding RNA, 1077 nt
Organism: Oncorhynchus tshawytscha (Chinook salmon)
Lineage: Eukaryota; Metazoa; Chordata; Actinopteri; Salmoniformes; Salmonidae
Source: Ensembl
CCAGUACCAGUCCAUUACCUCAGCAGAACCACUAACUGCUCUGUCAUGAAUACUUUCUGUUCAUUGACCUGGCUACCCUUCAUUAUUCAUGGCAGAGCAGAUGACAAAGGCUGCUUAAUGACACACACACACACACACACACACACACACACACACACAGGACAGGCAGACACACAGGACAGGCAGACACACACACAGGACAGGCAGACACACACACACACACAGGACAGGCAGACACACAGACACAGGACAGGCAGACACACACACAGGACAGGCAGACACACACACAGGACAGGCAGACACACACACACACACACAGGACAGGCAGACACACACAGGACAGGCAGACACACACACACAGGACAGGCAGACACACACAGGACAGGCAGACACACACACACAGGACAGGCAGACACACACACACAGGACAGGCAGACACACACACAGGACAGGCAGACACACACACACAGGACAGGCAGACACACACACACACACACAGGACAGGCAGACACACACACACACAGGACAGGCAGACCAACACACACACAGGACAGGCAGACCAACACACACAGGACAGGCAGACACACACACACACACAGGACAGGCAGACACACACACACACACAGGACAGGCAGACACACACAGGACAGGCAAACACUCACACACAGGACAGGCAAACACACACACACACACACACACACACACAGGACAGGCAGACACACACACAGGACAGGCAGACAGGCAUGCCUAACUAGGUGAGAGAAGACCAGGGCAGAUUUUAAGAAGAGGUGACUGGAGGACAGAGACAGAAGGUGUCAUUGUCUCAUCACCACCUCAGGUAACACAAUAAGCCUUUUCUAGCCGUGUGUGUGUCUUAGUGUUAGCGUGUGUGUGUGUGUAUCUUAGUGUUAGCGUGUGUGUGUGUGUGUCAGUGUGUGUGUGUCUUAGUGUCAGCGUGUGUGUGUGUGUCUUAGUGUCAGCGUGUGUGUGUGUAUCUUAGUGUCAGUGUGUGUGAACUGGUGGGUGGAAAGGUGAGGGACUGAGGCAGUAAUCCUGUCACAGGAGACGUAACACCCA